Molecule: long non-coding RNA, 490 nt
Organism: Homo sapiens (human)
Lineage: Eukaryota; Metazoa; Chordata; Mammalia; Primates; Hominidae
Gene: SOCS3-DT
Product: SOCS3 divergent transcript
Source: Ensembl
AGUGUUACGUGGCUGCAUGACCAUACACUUCUGGGUAGAGCCCAGUGGAAGACAAAGAAGACUCAAGGAAUAGCCCUUGAGGGCUCAGGAGCUAUACAGAUGGGAUAGAGGGUGUGAGUGCUGGGAAGCCCCAUCCAUGGCUCGCUGGAGAUUAGAGGCCUGUUAAUCUGAAGACAAAGGAAUGAAGACGAAAACGUUUCUGAAAAUGUGGGUGGAGACACCUGGGCCUUUACAGGGUACGCUCCAGAGCUGCUUCCAGGCAGGGACCCCGGCUGAGAGAAGCCAGAGCCAGAGAGUCGCAGGCUUGCUUGCUCUUAUCUUCCCUCUGCUGGGGGGGUCGAGGGGAGAUCUGGCCCCUCUGCUCUGCCCUCCUGAUUUCCCGUCUAAGGGAUUUAGGAGACUUUUGCCUUUUCCUAAUCUCUCCCUUUGCAGAAUUUCUGCGAAGUCACAAUCCCAUUUCCAGGCAAAGGUGCUUGGUCAUAAAGAUAAU